UGGGGGAUUUUGGACAAUGGGCGAAAGCCUGAUCCAGCAAUGCCGCGUGUGUGAAGAAGGCCUUCGGGUUGUAAAGCACUUUUGUCCGGAAAGAAAUCCUUGGCUCUAAUACAGUCGGGGGAUGACGGUACCGGAAGAAUAAGCACCGGCUAACUACGUGCCAGCAGCCGCGGUAAUACGUAGGGUGCAAGCGUUAAUCGGAAUUACUGGGCGUAAAGCGUGCGCAGGCGGUUUGCUAAGACCGAUGUGAAAUCCCGGGCUCAACCUGGGAACUGCAUUGGUGACUGGCAGGCUAGAGUAUGGCAGAGGGGGGUAGAAUUCCACGUGUAGCAGUGAAAUGCGUAGAGAUGUGGAGGAAUACCGAUGGCGAAGGCAGCCCCCUGGGCCAAUACUGACGCUCAUGCACGAAAGCGUGGGGAGCAAACAGGAUUAGAUACCCUGGUAGUCCACGCCCUAAACGAUGUCAACUAGUUGUUGGGGAUUCAUUCCUUAGUAACGUAGCUAACGCGUGAAGUUGACCGCCUGGGGAGUACGGUCGCAAGAUUAAAACUCAAAGGAAUUGACGGGGUCAUAGCUG
Molecule: ribosomal RNA, 577 nt
Filed under: uncultured bacterium
Lineage: Bacteria
Description: partial 16S ribosomal RNA
Rfam family: Bacterial small subunit ribosomal RNA
Source: RNAcentral